RNA transcript from Mandrillus leucophaeus (drill), 2782 nucleotides. It is a transcript of the gene named integrator complex subunit 6-like, with no coding region annotated. The record is from RefSeq and is a predicted model, not a curated record. Lineage: Eukaryota; Metazoa; Chordata; Mammalia; Primates; Cercopithecidae. The transcript is spliced from 2 exons.
GGCGCUGUCAGACGGGCUUGGCCGGGGCUCAGGCUCCGGCCCGGGCGGUAAGUGGGGAGCAAUCUGUGUGGGGGGAGCGGCGUGGAGGGGUGGCAGCUGCGUGUGCGGUACUGUGGGGGCGGCGGGGCCGCUGGGCGCCCCUUCUCUGCCUCCUAACCUCGCCUCUGUGCUUCCCUCUUGCCCGCUCUGUUCCUCCUCCCAUCCCGCAGCUCCGUGCCCGGGGCCCUGCCAGCAGAGGAGACAGGUAUAUGCUGGUCACUUUCGAAGAGCCGCCCUAUGCUAUUAAGGCUGGAUGGAAAGAAAACCAUGCAACGUUUAUGAAUGAAGUGAAAAACCUUCAGGCUGAAGGACUUAAGACUCUUGGCCAAUCCCUAAGGACAGCUUUUGAUUUAUUAAAUUUAAAUAGAUUAGUAACUGGCAUAGACAACUAUGGGCAGGGAAGAAACCCUUUUUUCUUGAAGUCAGAAAUAAUUAUCACAAUUAUUGAUGGGAGCAAGUUGACCACCACCAGUGGAGUCCAGGAUGAGAUUCAUUUACCUCUUAAUUCUCCUUUGCCUGGAAGUGAAUUGACCAAGGAACCUUUUUGUUGGGAUCAGAGACUCUGUGCAUUAGUGUUGGCGGUUGCCCGGCACCAUGUCGGUAGAAUCAGAACAGUUGACAGGUGUGCCUUUAGAUGACUCUGCAAUCACACCAAUAUGUGAAGUGACAGGCAGCCAUUCAUAUUUUGUGUGUUCUCCAAGAACACUUAAUCAGUGUCUAGAGUCCUUGGUGCAGAAAGUACAAAGUGGGGUGGUAAUAAACUUUGAAAAAACAGGACCAGAUCCUUCCCCUGUAGAAGAUGGGCAGCCAGAUAUUUCAAGGCCCUUUGGAUCUCAGCCUUGGCAUAGCUGUCACAAACUCGUAUAUGUCACACCAAAUCCUAAAACUGGGAUUCCUAUAGGUCAUUGGCCUGUUCCAGAGUCUUUUUGGCCAGAUCAAAAUUCGCCAGCACUACCACCUCAUACAUCUCAUCCUGUAGUGAAGUUUUCCUGUAUAGACUGUGAACCAAUGGUUAUUGAUAAACUUCCUUGUGACAAAUAUGAGUUGGAACCUUCACCACUGACUCUAUUUAUCCUGGAAAGGAAAUCUCCUCAAACAUGUUGGCAGGUGUAUGUGAGCAAUAGUGCAAAAUAUAGUGAACUUGGUCAUCCUUUUGGUUACCUGAAAGCCAGUACAGCACUGAACUGUGUCAACUUAUUUGUGAUGGCUUACAAUUAUCCAGUCCUUCUUCCCCUCUUAGAUGACUUGUUUAAAGUGUGUAAGGCAAAACCAACAUUGAAGUGAAGACAGUCAUUUGAAAGUUGUUUGAAGACAAUGCCUCCUUACUAUCUCGGGCCCUUGAAGAAAGCUGUUAGUAUUAUGGGAGCACCUAACCUAAUAGCAGACAGUAUGGAAUACGGACUUAGUUACAGUGUCAUUUCACACCUCAAAAAACUGAGUCAACAAGCCAAAAUAGAAUCUGAUCGAGUCACUGAAUCUGUAGGCAAAAAAGGUGGUACAGGAAACUGGAAUAAAAGUCCGGAGCUGAUCACAUGGUUUAUCAAUGGCAUAUAGGGGAGAUUUUCAACAACUCCUCCAGGGAAUUUCAGAGGAUGUCCCUCACAGACUGCUAGACCUUAAUAUGAAGGAACACACUGGGUUCCAAGUUGCUUUGCUGAAUAAGGAUUUGAAGCCACAGACAUUUAGAAAUGCUUAUGACAUACCAAGAUGAAAUCUUUUGGAUCACUUAACAAGAAUGAGAUCUAAUCUUUUGAAGCACACUUGCAUAUUUCUUAAAGGACAGGACGAAGAUCAGUGCACAGUGUUCGUAUAGCACAAAUGGGGAACUACCAGAAAUACCUCAAGCAAGUACCUUCUCCACUAAGAGAACUUAAUCCUGAUCAGCCACAAAGGUUGCAUACAUUUGGCAACCCCUUUAAGCUGGAUAAGAAGGGUAUGAUGAUAGAUGAAGCAGAUGAAUUUGUGGCUGGACCUCAAAAUGAACAUAAACGACCUGGAGAACCAAAAAAUGCAAGGGAUCCCUAAAAGACAUUGGUGUAUGUCUCCACUACUAAAAGGGAGACAGCAGAAUCCUGUUGUAAGCAAUCAUGUAGGGGGAAAAGGACCACCUGUACCUACAACUCAAGCACAGCCAGAUCUUAUUAAACCUCUUCCUCUUCAUAAAAUUUCAGAAAUUGUUGCGGGAAAAACCACGAAGGAUUCGAUAGUACAUGAUGUGGUUGAAAAUCAUGUUGCAGACCAACUUUCAUCAGACAUUACACCAAAUGCUAUGGAUACUGAAUUUUCAACAUCUUCUCCAGUCAGUUUACUGGAACAGCUAACCAAUCAUACAGAGGCAGGCUCUUGGUCAUGACCAUUUAGGAACCAAUGACCUCACUGUUGGUGGAUUUUUAGAAAAUUAUGAGGAGCCAAGAGAUAAAGAACAAUGUGCUGAAAAGAACAUACCAGCAUCUUCAUUCAACAAAGGAAAGAAAGUGAUGCAUUGCAAAAGCCAUGAAGAGGUCAAUACCAAACUAAAAGCACAAAUAAUGAAAGAGAUCCGAAAGCCAGGGAGAAAAUAUGAAAGAAUCUUCACUUUACUGAAGCAUGUGCAAGGCAGUUUACAAACAAGACUAAUAUUUUUACAAAAUGUCAUUAAAGAAGCAUCAAGGUUAAAAAACGAAUGCUAAUAGAACAACUGUAGAACUUCGUGGAUGAAACUCAUCAAAGAGCCAAUCGGAUCAACCAUAUUAACAACAAUUAA